Halichondria panicea is the source of this 937-nucleotide long non-coding RNA. RefSeq lists it as uncharacterized. The transcript is spliced from 2 exons. The record is from RefSeq and is a predicted model, not a curated record. Lineage: Eukaryota; Metazoa; Porifera; Demospongiae; Suberitida; Halichondriidae.
AGGUUGGCCACGCGUCAUCAAUCAUGUGACAUUCCUAAGGUCUCUGCUCACGUUACCAUAGAUACCGAAUAACUGUAAUAAAAAAGUUAUGGAUACUCUUGCUUUACUGACUUGUAACACCGGACUAGCUGUGUCUGUUGUCUGGCUGGACCAAGAUUAGCUAGACUAUAGGGUAGAGUAUAGUUUAGCAGUGCUGUAUGAAGCUUGCAUUGUACUGGCUGUCAAGAAUCUAGUAAACACUGUAUGCACUGAUAACUCGCCAGAAUAAAGGGGAUCGGUGGGGAUCGGGUUGGUUAAUGAAAGUUUUAUAUCAAAAGAAGCCAGCGAGGCACAUAAAGUUUGCCUUCAGUCUCUAAUGACCGUGCAACACCAGCUAAAAGUUUACAUAGAACUCAUUUGUCAAUUUUUGUGCCAGCUCAGCAAAAAAAGUGGUGCACGUGAUCGUGUCCAACCUCCUCUGGCAGCGCAUAUGGCAACUUAUGAGGUGGGCGUGGCUUUGACAUCGAUAACACAAGCCUCCUUUCUUCAGCUCAGCUCUCCAUUCUCUCUCACUUCAGGUUAAUAUUCACCAAAAACCAUAUUUUCCGGCAGCAAAAGGAUAAAAAAAGAGAAAAAGAGAGCGAAAGAGGAGCCAUCACAAGAGGACUCGUGGAUGUAGCUCAUUCUGCAUGUGUGCCUAUAAUUAGUAACUGUUAAUUUAAGAUGUAAUGUCACCCCAUUUUUGUGCACAUACAUUCAACCACCCGCUCCUACGUACGUACGUACAUGUAUAUGUAUAUGUAUGACAUGUAUAAUUAUAUAAUCUAUAGACACCAUGCAUUAUAAUUUGUACACAGUAUAUUUAUUACUAAAACAUUGUAGCUAUAAUUUAUUGUGUAAAUACUUUUACUCAACAAUUCAAACAAACAACAAGUCAAUCAUGCAUUAUAUCAAUUGA